This 253-nucleotide ribosomal RNA is filed under the name uncultured bacterium. RNAcentral describes it as "partial 16S ribosomal RNA". It matches the Rfam family "Bacterial small subunit ribosomal RNA", at positions 524 to 776 of the family's 1533-position model. The record is from RNAcentral.
UACGAAGGGGGCUAGCGUUGCUCGGAAUCACUGGGCGUAAAGCGCACGUAGGCGGAUUGUUAAGUCGGGGGUGAAAUCCUGGAGCUCAACUCCAGAACUGCCUUUGAUACUGGCAACCUUGAGUCCGGGAGAGGUGAGUGGAACUGCGAGUGUAGAGGUGAAAUUCGUAGAUAUUCGCAAGAACACCAGUGGCGAAGGCGGCUCACUGGCCCGGUACUGACGCUGAGGUGCGAAAGCGUGGGGAGCAAACAGG